This 347-nucleotide long non-coding RNA is filed under the name Ananas comosus (pineapple). RNAcentral describes it as "long non-coding RNA (ACOM_LNC030539)". The record is from RNAcentral. Lineage: Eukaryota; Viridiplantae; Streptophyta; Magnoliopsida; Poales; Bromeliaceae.
UUUGUUCUUCAAUUUGAAUCUUUUCUUCAAAACUUCGGCGAUCAACUUUUCAAGACUCCAUUCAACAUUACGAAAUUCGCCAACCUAUAAAAUCCUUAACAAUCUCCCCCUUUGGCGAUUUCGUGACAAAAUAUACUAUAAAUUCGUACACAACGCAGAAACAAUAAAACGAAGAUCAUUGCAAUCACCAAACGAUAAUCUGCUGCAUGAUCGAUCCAAUAAACGAAAAUUACAAUUUUCAAAAUCUUAAUACAAGCUCUAUGACUUAGACAUGGAGUCUUGAAGUCUUGAAUUAUUCCUGCAAAAACAUUCUCAAAAACAUAAUCAAGAUUCAUAAUCAAGAUUCA